UGCCCAGGAGAUCCUCAAAGAAGAAGGCUCCCAAGUCAAAAACAAAUUAAGAGAUAGGUGCAAUUUUGUUGCAUGUUGUCACAGUACCAUAGUAUGAGAAAUUUUCUUGUAAGCUUUGAGUUUUUGCAGCUUUACUUACAUUUACCUCUUGUUCUAUUUUGGUUGAACUUUUCCAACCUUUUUUUAGCAUUUAUCUUUUUUUUUCCUUUUGCUUGCAAUUUUAAGCUUGAGAAUUAUUUAGAUAUCAACAACGCUACAAGAGGAAGAUGUUGAUACUAGCCAUUGGUUCUCUUGCAUUCAAGCCCUCAAUUUACAGCAGUUACACUAUUUCAAUGUGAUUGGAGUUCUGCACAAGUUUUUAAUAUGGUGUGUCUUCUUUUGUGCUUGACCAAUUUUUCAUAUAACUUGAAAGUCACGACCUAGUAGGAUGGUGACAUGUGUUAUUGAUUUUAAAAAGGAAAAAAAUAGAAAUUUUUACAUUCGUAUACACUGUAUGAAACUAUAAUAUUACCCUCCCUACUUAAGUUUUACUAUAAUUACAUUUUAU
Molecule: long non-coding RNA, 547 nt
Filed under: Nicotiana tabacum (common tobacco)
Lineage: Eukaryota; Viridiplantae; Streptophyta; Magnoliopsida; Solanales; Solanaceae
Description: long non-coding RNA (NTAB_LNC010413)
Source: RNAcentral